GGGCAGACGGACUGGCAGGCGGGUGGCGGCGGCGGCGCUUGGUAGUGAGGGCGGGAGGGAGUGAGUCACUGAGUGUGUGUGAAGGAGGGAAUCAGCCAGCGAGCGGGCGGGCGAGCAGCUCGCGCCGUUCCCCCGCAGCUCCAGUCAGGCCCCGCCGCCACAGCCUCUCCGCCCCGCGCCGAGGCCGGGCAGAGCCGAGCUGGGUCGGGCCCGGGCCAUGCUGCUCACGGUGUACUGUGUGCGGAGGGACCUCUCCGAGGUGACCUUUUCCCUCCAGGUCGACGCCGACUUCGAGCUGCACAACUUCCGCGCGCUGUGCGAGCUUGAGUCCGGUAUCCCCGCAGCCGAGAGCCAGAUUGUCUACGCUGAAAGACCUCUCACAGACAACCACAGAUCACUGGCUUCUUAUGGCUUGAAAGAUGGGGACGUUGUGAUUUUACGACAAAAGGAGAGUGCAGAUCCUCGACCUCCAGUGCAAUUCCCAAACUUACCCCGAAUAGACUUCAGUAGUAUAGCUGUGCCUGGCACAUCAAGCUCCCGGCAGCGCCAGCCACCAGGAGCACAGCAGCCCCACUCAUCUCUUGGAGAAAUAGCUUCAUCUCCUCAGGGCUUGGACAAUCCAGCCUUGCUCCGAGACAUGUUGCUGACCAACCCCCACGAGCUGUCCUUGCUGAAGGAACGCAAUCCACCCUUGGCAGAUGCUCUGCUCAGUGGAGAUCUUGAGAAAUUUUCUAGGGUCCUAGUGGAGCAGCAGCAGGACCGAGCCCGGAGAGAGCAAGAAAGGAUUCGUCUCUUUUCUGCUGACCCUUUUGAUCUCGAAGCUCAGGCUAAGAUAGAAGAAGAUAUAAGGCAACAGAACAUUGAGGAAAACAUGACAAUAGCUAUGGAAGAGGCUCCAGAAAGUUUUGGCCAAGUAGUGAUGCUUUAUAUUAACUGCAAAGUGAACGGACAUCCUGUGAAAGCCUUUGUUGACUCAGGUGCCCAGAUGACUAUUAUGAGCCAAGCUUGUGCAGAAAGGUGUAAUAUAAUGAGGCUGGUGGACCGUCGGUGGGCAGGGAUCGCCAAAGGAGUGGGCACCCAGAAGAUUAUUGGAAGAGUACAUCUAGCUCAGGUUCAGAUUGAAGGAGAUUUCCUGGCGUGUUCCUUCUCUAUACUUGAGGAGCAGCCCAUGGACAUGCUUCUGGGACUGGAUAUGCUCAAACGGCAUCAGUGUUCCAUUGACCUCAAGAAAAAUGUACUCGUGAUCGGCACCACAGGCUCCCAGACCACCUUCCUUCCUGAGGGAGAGCUACCAGAGUGUGCCAGGUUGGCAUAUGGGGCCGGGCGAGAGGACCUACGGCCAGAUGAGACUGGAGACCAAGAAUUAGCAGAAGCCCUUCAAAAAUCUGUAGAGGAUGCAGAGAAAAGCGGUAAAGAAACUACCUCACUGGGAAUGUCAUCGUUACCAACUUCAGAUGGAUUUAACCAUCUAGCCCAUCCUUCAGGACAGAGUCCUGAGAUUGGUAAUCAUACGAGUCUUACUCGCUCUGUCUCUGCUUCGGUCUGCCCUGCAAAGCCCAGUGACCCAGCUAGCCUUGAACCUGAAACUGUCAAGGCUUCGAAGGCUUCAGCUGAGUUCCAGAUAACCUCUGAAAAGAUAGAGCAUCUUCUUCCUCUACAGGAUCUUUCUGAUCAUGCUUCUUCAACAGACAGUGCUCCAGCAGACCAGAGUGCAUCUAUGCCUUUGAAGAAUUCAUCAAAAGAAGCAGUCGUUGCAGAUAAUCUAAAGAAGUCUACUGAAGAAAGCACCCAGGGCCUCAAAAUUCAUCUCUAUACAAGACAGGAAACUGGUUUAUCCGUCGCAACUACUAGGAUGCGUGAACCGCAAAUGUUUCUCAGCGAAGAGGGCUGGCAUCCAGAAUAUCAGAAUCUGAGUCAAGUAAAUGGCCUUCAGCACCAUGAAGAACCAGGGAAUGAACAGCACGAGGUUGUAGAACAGAAUGCUUCGCAUGACCCAGAACAUCUUUGUAACACAGGGGACCCUGAACUUCUUAGAGAAAGGCAAUGGAACCAACAAAAAUGUGUUGAUUUAGAAGAUGAGAUGAAAGGGGACAGGCAGAACGUAGACCUAGGUACAGAGAAAAAUACUCUACCAUCAGGAUGCUUUGGCUGCUCUAAUUUGGAAACACUUAUGGAAGUAGACAUUGUUGAAGAGUCCCUGGUUGCUGUGUUUAAUUCAGCAGGCAGUCAGAAUGCCAGUGUCAAGAACAUUGGUGCAUCUGAUGCCACGCUAGAUAAUCCCUUAAUGGAAGUAGAAACAUCAAAAUGUAACCCUUCAUCUGAAAUUUUAUCUAAUUCCAUUUCCACUCAGGAUUUACAGCUCCAAGAAACUAAUGUUGAAAUGUCUGCAACAAAUAAAGAAUAUGGCAAUUAUUCCCCCUCUUUAAGUCUUUGUGGCAGUUGUCAGCCCUCUGUGGAGUCAACAGAGGAAUCAUAUUCAUCUAUAACGACAGCUUUGAAGGAACUUCAUGAGCUUUUAGUCAUUAGUAGUAACCCAGCUUCAGAAAAUACAUCUGAAGAAGUUGUCAGCCGAUCAGAAACAGGAGCUGAGGGCCAAACAAAUACUCAAGACCUUUCUGAAUUAUGGACCCAAAAUGAGGCUCUUCCAACUACCCAGGAAGAACAGCAUUCACCAGUCUCCUUCCACCAGGCUGUACCUGUAUCGGCGAAGACAGAAACAUUAACAGGCACUUCACCUGGCACUGGAAUAGAGGAUAUAGAACAUAUUAACUGCAGGGGUCCAAGUGAUGGCAUGCAUACUGAUCAAGAAAGUGUCCCCAGGUCUAGGGAAUCAGUAAACGACAGAAGUUCUGUCCCUCUAGCCUCAGCUAAAACACCUGAUCAACUGCACUGCACCCUGGGUACAGAAGCUUCCCCCAAACUUUUAGCAGGUGAGGAUGCACUCAACCAGAUUUCUGAGCAAACUAAGCCCUUGCCAUUCAGUUUCAUAUUGGUUAAAGACUUGAGUCAGUGCACGCAGAAUCCAAUGACAAACAGGCCUGAAACCAGAGAAGAUGUCUGUCGUGAAGUGACCAGACCGUUCCUUGAGUUUGAACCACCUGCCAGCCACCCAUCACAUCCCUCCAUUCUUCCACCAUUGAUUUUUCCUGCUGCAGACAUUGACCGGAUCCUCCAUGCUGGCUUUACUUUGCAGGAAGCUCUUGGGGCUUUGCAUCGAGUUGGCGGAAAUGCAGACCUUGCUCUUCUUGUUUUGCUAGCAAAGAACAUUGUAGUUCCUACAUAACCAUGGAAAGUGGGCUAGACUGUACUCCAUUCCCUUAAAGAAAGCUAUAUGCACACACACCACAUACACACUCACACUCAUACAGUGACCUUCCAUGCAGGGUGCCAUCCUCCUGUCACCCCAUUUGAGAGCAUAGCCACUGUGGAGUACUGACAUCUGGGCUAACAGAACGUAGCAGAAGAUUCUGCGGGGUGUGCUGUUUUAAAGCAGCUGAGUUCAGGAUUGAAGAUGGGGGUCUAGAACAGAAAAUGGAACAAGCAAUGAAUGGCUGUAGGACAAGAAUGAUGGGCAGAAUUGAUUUACAAGAGCAUUUAAGGAGCUACUGAAUUUUUCUACAGGAUUCCAUCAAAGGGACAUUCUUUAACGCAUUAUUUAAAAUGUCAUAUGUUGUUAUCCUGAGGCAUACAGAUAGAAUUUCUGGAUCGUAACUACAAGUGACUUCAGAGGGUAGCUUCUCAAAGGUUUAUCCUUUAUGUUUUGGUGAUUGCUAAUGUAGACCUUAGGGGGCUGUAAAAGGUAAGAGGAUACAGCUGAUUAAUUUUAGGGCACCAUCUUGUGGUAAGAAGUCUGCAAAUAGUUCAAGGGCAUAGGGCUUAGAGCAUUUUACGUAAGAAAGUUAAGCAAACUACAGAAGACUUCGGAUGGGGGUGUGGAAUGCAAAAUUAGAAUAAUAUUUAGAGAACUAUUUUUCUUUAAAUAUGUACUUUAAGAAGGUUUUCAUUAGCUGAUGUGGGGAAGGGGCAUCCUGGGGUAUAUUUUCCUAGGAAAAUGCAUCUCCUGGGAAGUUACUUUGUUUACAAGACUGUUUUACCUGCAACCUUGAGCAAAUGCAUCUGUGGCCUGAAGAAGAGUAGACCUGUGUUAAUUUUCUCCCAGAGGCAACUGGAUCUGUUUGUCUAGAUUCCUUCUGAGAUUACCUGAUGCUGCCCAGACUUCUUUGUCCUUCCCUGAAGACCUACAGCUUUCUGAGCCCAUGCUACCUACCGAUCCAGACUCUCCUGUUUGAAUAAUUAGAUUUCCAUUCUGUACUCUACUGACCAUCCUUUUGAAAGAGUUGGGUGGGAUACUCAGAACAGUUCAACAUACUGAUUGAAUUUGCUUUUUUCAAUGUGCAUCUAGGAUGAAAGUUAAUUUGCUUGUUUUUAUUCAAACUCAUCUUCAUGGCGAGUUGGGCUAAUGGCCUUUGCCCUCAAGAAAGCUUUCUUGACCAAUUUUGUAGCCAUAUUUGGCAAAUUGUAAUUCAUAGAAACCCUUCUGUCCUUUUUCCAUUUAUUGCAAUCGCUCAUGUAGGGCAAGAUCUGGCUUUUCUUCGAGCUUUGAGACUACUGCAUCUUACAAGAAGGACUAGGGUGACUGACAAAAUAGGCUUGCCAGCAGCUCAGUCAUUUCCAUAACACUUUGGUUUUGAGAGUUCGGGAAACUCUGAGAACUUAAGGGAACCAAACUCAGGAAUCCCAAAGUUGGUUGUGUUGUGCCAUUGGUUUAGGGCCUGAACACAGGACCUGUCUGCAGCUGAGUGAGUGAGAUGCGUUUGGGUUUAAAUUUCUGUGGAAUACUGAAAUGUAAGUCAGCCCUAAAUAAUCAAAAUAUUUUAUUUUCUUUUUUAAUAGGAACUUUCUGAAGAAAAAGCAAUGUGUAAAACAUUUGAUAUUUAAGACAAUAAAGUUUUUAUCAUACAACUUCUGUUUGAUCAGUUUAUUUUAAAUUGAGGCGAUUACUUUUGUUUCUACCUCCCUACCCCUUUAAAUAACUUACAGCCAGGCACUGUAACUCGUGGACAUGUGCCUGAACCCCAGAAAAAAUGGGCAUCUUGGAGCCAUUAAAGGAACUUCUUUCUAGAUAAUCAUUGUAGGAGGAAGGCUAGCUGCUGAUGUAAAAGAGGUGAGUUUUUUUUAACUUCAUGAGUGGUUAAUGCACAGUAAUAGAAAUAACACUGGCAAUAUAGUGGUCAAAACUCUACUUUCUAGAGCCAGGCUGCUUGGACUUGAAUUCCAGCUUUGUCCCUUAUUAGCUGUGUGAUUGUGGGUAAAUUGCCUUUCUGUGCCUCAGUUUCUCCAUCUCUGCAAUGGGAAGUAUCAUGGGAUGGUUAUAGGGGUUAAAUGAGUUAAUACAUGAAAGGUGCUUAGAACGGUGCAUGGCACAUAGUACCCAUUAGAUGUUAGCUAGUGUUACUGUAUCCAAAGGUUGGAUUGCUCAUCUAACAGUCUGAUAUGGUGGGAGGACUCUGCCCCACGCAGUCUUUCAGGCCUAGGCAACCAGGGCUCUGCCCUCUUCAACAUGUAACUUCCAAGAUUACCUUAGACAUCAGCAGUCACUCAGCAUACCAAGAAAUGGAGGUACUGUACCUCACCUGUAUCCACCUCGUUGCCUGGAACUCGGCCAUAAAGCCAUACCAGAUUGCAAGGGAGACUGUGAAAUUUAUUUCAAAAAUAUAUGUAUAUAUCAAUUUGGGUGCCCAAGGAGAAUAGGAGUAGUUUGGUCAACUAACGUUGCUCGAUUUCACCUCGCAUAGCAUACAUACCCUUUCCUCAAAGGAAAACGCCCCAGAUGCCACUUAUGUCCCCUCUUGACUUAGAAGUUCAGAAUCUCCUGGAAUGCCCAGUGCGCUCUUUCAGGUCUUGAUUGUGGCUCUGUGUGGUCUGGCAAACCCUGAACUAAAAGAUGUUACCUGCUUCUACCCUGUAUACAGUGAUGGAGCAGGAAGAGAAUAGCUACAAUUUUAAAAAAUCCAGUUUGGAAAAGGGAAGAAUGGAAAAUGUGGCAGUCGCUGACCCUAACAAUUAGAAAAUUGUGGUGGACAGGCAUUGUGAAGGAGUUGGAGAAGUUCCUGUAUAGAUUCUGAGUAUGUGCUCUGGAAGGAGCUCUCUUGUCCACUGUCCUCUACAGCCCCACCUGAAGUAGGUGUUGAGUCUGCCCUCCUUGGGAGUUGCACAGCUUUCAGAGCUUACAACUGGUGCGCGCUUGGGGACCGGAGGGCUUGGAAGAGUAUCUAGACUCGUGGUUUCUUUGGUAAAACAAUUUACUUGGUAACACUCAAACAUCUAAUCUGUUUGCUUCCAGUCCAUCCUGAAUGCCAGUAACCACAACCAGAGUUUUUUCCUAUACAUAAUUCUCAAGCCUCAUUUCAUUUCUUUGCUGUCUCGCUUCUGUUCUCUCAAUGGCAUCUACUUUGAAUUCAUCUGAAAUAGGUUUGAGAGGGAAAACCUUAAUACGAUUUUUGCAGUGGGGCUGAGUCUUAUUACUGCGCCUUGGUAUUCAAAGCUCGCUUCAAAUUUAGCUCUUAUUAUCUAGGGUGUAGAAGGAGGAGACCUACUGCAAGGCCCCAGGAUUCAUGGUUCUGUUUUCAUUUCUGCUUACGACCAGCCAAUUCUUUCUUUAGCUUAGCUCUUGUGAUGCUUGUAAUAUAAAAGACAACACACUAACAUGAUUUUUCAACUUUUCCUCUUAGACUAGGAUUCAGGGCUCCUGUGAAGAUCUACAGGCUUUAUAGUUAAUGUAGUCAACCAUCCAAGCUGUCACAGGAAGCAGUUUUACAAAUAUUUUGCCCGCCCCCCCCCCAAAUAACAUGGGGAGGCUUGGUGGCACAGUGGCUAGGGGCAGUGGCUGUUAACCAAAAAGUUGGCAGUUCAAAUCCACCACCCACUCCUUGGAAACACUAUGGGGCAGUUCUACUCUGUCCUGUAGGAUGGCUACGAGUCAACAACAGCAACAAUGGAUUUGGUUUGGUUGGUUUUUGAAUAACAUGGGUCUCCAUUUUUCCAUUUCAGUUCCUUCUUGACCACCAAGGCAAAGUCAUAUUUUAGGUUUUUGUGAUGGCAACAUCCCAUUUCAGUAACCAAUUCCUGUAUUAGGUAAGAUAGACUAGCUGCUUUAAUGACAACAACCAAAAACUGGUGCCAUCAAGUCAGUUCCAACUGACUCAAGCAGACCCGCAUGUGACAGAGUAGAACUGCCCCCAUAGGGUUUCCUAGGCUGUAACCUCUACGGAUGCAUACUGCUACAUCUUUCUUCCACAGACUGGUACCCGCUAACUUUUCAGUUAGCAGCUGAGCACUUAACUAACCACUGUGCUACCAGGGCUUGGCUGUAGCAAACCCACCCCAAAUAACAGUAGCUUAACACAAUAUAACCUUAUUUCUCCUUCACUUAGAGUCCAAUGUGGGUCAGGUCAGUGGAAGUAGAGUGGAUGGGAGGCUCUCCUCCAUGCUGUCAUCCAGGGACUCAGAUUUCCAGCAGUUCUGCCAUUUUCACAUGGCUUCUGAAGUUGCCCUGGCCUUCAACACUCAGUUGGAAGCUGAUGGAAGAGAGAAUCACAAUCAAGGGGUUUUUAUGGGCCAGAUCUGAAUACAGUACACACCACUUCUCACACAAAAUCAGCAAAAACACAGAUACCUGGCCAUCCCUAGCUGAAGGAGAGGCAGGGAAAUGUAGACUGUGACCAGUAAGAAGAGAAAAACAGCUAACCCAGUUUUUACCUCAAAGAAUAAAAAUUUUCUAAUGUCUGGGUAGACAGCAGUAUUUUGUCUUGAUUCCCAGUUAGUCACAAAAUGAGACCCGUGAUUCUGGACUGUUAAGAGUUGAUUUCCAAUUGUUGAGUUUCAGGAUAACUUCUUUCCUACCCUAAAGCUUCCAAGUGGUGUGUGUGUGUGUGUGUGUGCUUUAAGCGAUUUAAAAUUAACCAUUUUUGAUACUCAGGUAACUUAGAACA
Molecule: RNA transcript, 7991 nt
Organism: Loxodonta africana (African savanna elephant)
Lineage: Eukaryota; Metazoa; Chordata; Mammalia; Proboscidea; Elephantidae
Gene: DDI2
Gene name: DNA damage inducible 1 homolog 2
Exons: 10
Source: RefSeq, a predicted model, not a curated record